CAAUAGCGUAUAUUAAAGUUGUUGCAGUUAAAAAGCUCGUAGUUGGAUCUGUGGUGUGCGGUGGGCUCCGGGCACUUGUUGUCUGAGUAGCUCGCCGCUGCCAUCCUUGGGUGGAACCUGUGUGGCAUUAGGUUGUCGUGCAGGGGAUGCCCAUCGUUUACUGUGAAAAAAUUAGAGUGUUCAAAGCAGGCUUAUGCCGUUGAAUAUAUUAGCAUGGAAUAAUGAGAUAGGACUUUUCGCUAUUUUGUUGGUUUGCGCGAAGAGGUAAUGAUUAAUAGGGACAGUUGGGGGUAUUCGUAUUCCAUUGUCAGAGGUGAAAUUCUUGGAUUUUUGGAAGACGAACUACUGCGAAAGCAUUUACCAAGGAUGUUUUCAUUAA
RNAcentral lists this ribosomal RNA (379 nucleotides) under uncultured eukaryote. RNAcentral describes it as "partial 18S ribosomal RNA". It matches the Rfam family "Eukaryotic small subunit ribosomal RNA", at positions 592 to 976 of the family's 1831-position model. The record is from RNAcentral.